AUAAAGUGCAGUGUAGGCCAACACCCUCGCCGGGACCCCGGGAGGUGGCGGCCCCCGCGGGGUCCUGUGAGUUACGCCGCGUGCGGGCCCGAUCGCAUGGCGACUGGUGCGCAUUCAUGUUCCUGGAGGGAGAUGAAUCUUCGUCGCCUGUUCCCAAGCCAAAGCUGACAAGCAACCCUACCGUAUGAUCUGCCUCAUAAAUGGCCACCACCGGCACUAUAGGCCUAUGUGGCUACUGGCAAAUUAUAUGUGAGCGUGGAGGGAGCAGAGUGUGUGUGUGUGUGUGUGUGUGUGUGUGAGUCAUGAGUGUCACAACCUGACUGUUCAUUUGAGUUUGAAGACUAAAGGGAAAAUCAACAGAAUUGGUUUUAAAUCUUGUAUUCACUAUAAAACACAAAUCAAGUAUGAGGGCCAAGUCAGUUUUCACUUUUUGGUUUGUUUUCUCUAUAACAGGCCCUGGCAAAGCUGCAGUUAUAAAUUGAUAUGGUGCUACUCCAGUAGCCUUUGUACCUAUUUACUGAACAACAUGUCAGACAAGGUUCAUUUCUCUUUAUCAAGUCUUAAAGUGAAUAAAUCAUUUCACGCUG
Long non-coding RNA from Scophthalmus maximus (turbot), 587 nucleotides. RefSeq lists it as uncharacterized. The record is from RefSeq and is a predicted model, not a curated record. The transcript is spliced from 2 exons. Lineage: Eukaryota; Metazoa; Chordata; Actinopteri; Pleuronectiformes; Scophthalmidae.